This 8267-nucleotide long non-coding RNA is filed under the name Homo sapiens (human). RNAcentral's name for it is "non-protein coding lnc-NNT-2:2". The stretch from base 3714 to 3779 matches the Rfam family "mir-1255 microRNA precursor family". Lineage: Eukaryota; Metazoa; Chordata; Mammalia; Primates; Hominidae. The record is from RNAcentral.
UCCACAACAGGAAGGGCCGGAAGUCCCGCCCCUCCACUCCGGAGGCUGCCCUCGCUGCGUUCCCUACGAAGGGCGGAGCAGGAAUUGGUGUAGGAAGGGGACGGGUGUUUCCUUGUUCGGAAUGGGGUUGGCUCCUCUUUGAUUUUUUACUUCUGGUGACCCACGCAAAAGCAGUCCCGACCUGGUUGUAUUAAUAAUAAAGGCUGUAAGGAUCAGCCUUUUGAACGGUCCAGCCGAGAACUAACCACAGAGCGCGUUUUAGUGGAGUGGUACUUAUUUUUAAAUAAGGUAAAAAACGAUUAUACUUCAGUAAAGCUGUUUAGAAAAAAAAAAACUUGGCCAAAGAUGGAGAACUCUUCCUAAUUUGGUAUCAGAAAAUAGGUCGUCUAUGUAUCUGCACCUUUUUUCCUUAUAAAGUGGCAAAUAAAUGUGUCUGCUAUAUUUAUUGCCACUAAACAAGUGUUUAUGGAACACUCACUGUGUGUUUAGGCAUAGUGGGGAUAAAGCAGGGAAGGUGGCCCAGUUCUUUGCGGGUGAGGAUCAGAGCUAGAGAUUAACUGGAAAGAAAGAAUAAACAAUCAUUUAUUACAGUUGUGAGUGUUUCUAAGAUAAAAUACAGAGGUUUGUGAGAGCAUAGAGAGGCAUACCUUGUUUUAUUGUGCAUUUUAUUGUGCUUUGCAGAUACUGAGUUUACUACAAAUGGAAGGUUUGAGGCAACCUUGAUGGAGCAAGUGUAUGGGUGCCAUGUUUUUCCAACAUCAUGUGCUCACUUUGUGUCUCUGACAUAUUUUGGUAAUUCCCACAAUAUUUCAAACUUUUUCAUUAUUUUUGUAUCUGUUAGAGUGAUCUGUGUGAUCACUGAUCUUUGAUGUCACUACUGUAAUUGUUUUGGGGGACCACAGAUCAUGCUCAUACAUUAUAAAAUGGCGAACUGAAUCUGUUACAGGUAGUUAGGCAUGAGCAAGGCAGGAGAGGGCUCUCCCCUGCCACCCACCCACUAGAAAUGUUGGGUGAUGGUUCAGCAAUUAUCACAUGGCCUCUCUAAAAAUGAAAAUUUGGCAGCGCCAGGGAAAGGCCAUUUCCUGAUGGCCCACACCUGUUAACAUCAAAAUGUUAAUUGAAUGCAGGCCCCAGAGAGAAGCAACUUCCUGGGCAUGCCGGUUAAGAGACAAAAGUGAUGAAGUAUGAUUUUUCUGAUACACUCCACCGGAAAAAGGAAGAAAGCCUCAGAUGGGCAUGUGUAUAAAUCCAUAAAAUCACUGUGUGUGCUCACUUCCCAAGGGUAAAGAGGGCUCUGAGCAUGCAGGGAGCCCAUCCUAAGAUCAUGGUUAAAUGCGGCACUUGACCUUCUCUCUCUCUCUCUCCUUUUCUUUUUCUUUUUUUUUUGAGACGGAGUCUCACUCUGUCGCCCAGGCUGCAGUGCAGUGGCGCGAUUUCAGCUCACUGCAAUCUCCGCCUCCCGGGUUCAAGCAAUUCUCUGCCUCAGCCCCCUCCCCGAGUAGCUGGGAUUACAGGCGCCCACCACCAUACCCGGCUAAUUUUUUUGUAUUUUUAGUAGAGACAGGGUUUCACCAUCUUGGCCAGGCUGGUCUUGAACUCCUGACCUCAUGAUCCACCUGCUUCAGCCUCCCAAAGUUCUGGGAUUAUAGGCGUGAGCCACUGCACCCGGCUGGCCUUCUCUCUUUAACCUUCACAUGCCCACUUGGGUCUCUUCCAUGCGUACCUUCCUUUCUUUCCUGUUCUAAUGCCUGUUUAAAUAAACCUCCAUUCCUACUCUGGAACUUGCUUCAGUCUCUUUUCUGCUUUAUGUCUGUCAGUCAAAUUCUUUCUUCUCUGAGGAGGCCAGGACUGAAGUUGCUAUGGACCUGCAAGGAUAGGCUGCUGGUAACUUGGGGUAACUCAGAUCUCUUCCACUAGUAACAAGUCGAUUGAUAUAUAUUGUGUGUGUCUGGCUGCUGUAUUCACUGGCCACUCUCAUCUCUCACCCUCUCCUAGAGCCUUCCUAUUCCUUGAGACACAACAAUAUCAAAAUUAGGCAAAGUAAUACCCCUACAGUGGCUUCUAAGUGUCCAAGUAAAAGAGGGUUGUAUGUCUCUCACUUUAAAUCAUAACCUAGAAAUGCAUGAUUAAGCCUGUAAGGAAGGCAUGUUGAAAGCUAAGAUAGGCUGAAAGCUAAGCCUCUUGUGUCAAACAGCCAAGUUGUGAAUACAAAGAAAAAAUUCUUAAAGGAAAUUAAAAGUACUACUCCAGUGAACACAUGAAUAAUAAGAAAAACCAAAACAGCCUUAUUACUGACAGGGAGGAAGUUUGAAUGGUCUGGAUAGAAGAUCAAACCAGCUACAACAUUCCCUUAAACCAAAGCCUAAUCCAGAACAAAGCCCUAACUCUCUUCGAUUCUAUGAAGGCUGAGAAAGGUGAGGGAGUUGAAGAAAAGUUUAAAGCUAUCAGUAGUUGGUUCAUGAAAUUUAAGGAAAGAAGCCAUCUCUGUAACAUAAAAGGGCAAGGUGAAGCCACAAGUGCUGAUGUAGAAGCUGCAGCAAGUUAUCCAGAAGAUCUAACGAAGACCAUUGAUGAAGGUGGCCAAAUUAAACAGCGGAUUUUUAAUGUAGAUGCAACAGCCUUCUAGUGGAAGAUGUCAUCCAGGACUUUCAUAGCCAGAGAGAAAUUAAUGCCUGGUUUCAAAGCUUCAAAGGACAGGCUGAUUGUCUUGUGAAGGUCUAAUGCAGCUGGUGACUUGAAGUUGAAACCAAUGCUCAUUUCUCAUUUCAAAAUCCUAGGGCCCUUAAGAAUUAUGUUAAAUCUACUCUGCCUGCACUCCAGAAACAACAGAGCCUGGAUGACAGCACAUCUGUUUAGAGUAUGAUUUACUGAAUAUUUUAAGCCCACUGUUGAAAAUGACAUUCAGAAAAAUAGAUUUCUUUUAAAAUAUUGCUACUUAUUGACAAUGCACCUGGUCACCUAAGAGCUCUGAUGACGUACAAGGAGAUUAAUGUUGUUUUCAUGUCUGCUAACGCAGCAUCCAUUCUACAGCCUAAGAGUCAAGAAGUAAUUUUGAUUUUCAGGUCUUAUUAUUUAAACAAUACAUUUCUUGAGGCUAUAGCUGACAUACAGAGUGAUGUCUCUAAUGGAUCUGGGCAAAAUCAAUUGAAAACCUUUGGGAAAAGAUUCACCAUUCUAGAUGCCAUUGAGAACAUUUGUGCUUCAUGGGAGGAGGUCAAAAUAUCCAAUUAAGAGAAGUUUGGAAGAAGUUUAUUCCAAUCCUCAUGGUUGAGUUUGAGGGCUUCAUGUCUUUAGUGAAAGAAGUGACUGCAGAUGUGAUGGAAACAGCAAGAGAACUGAAUGAGAAGGGGAGCCUGAAGAUGUGACUGAAUUGCUGCAAUCUCCUGAUAAACCUUGAAUGGAUGAGUUGCUUCUUUUUUUUUUGAGAUGGAGUCUUGCUCUGUCACCCAGGCUGGAGUGCAGUGGCACAAUCUUGGCUCAGUGCAACCUCCGCUUGCUGGGUUCAAGCAAUUCUUCUGCCUCAGCCUCCCGAGUAGCUGGGACUACAGGCAUGCGCCACCAUGCCCGGCUAAUUUUUUGUAUUUUUGGUAGAGACAGGGUUUCACCAUGCUGUCCAGGCUGGUCUUGAACUCCUGACCUUGUGACCCGCCUGCCUCGGCCUCCCAAAGUGCUGGGAUUACAGGCGUGAGCCACGGCGCCUGGCCUGCGUUGCUUCUUAUGGAUUAGCAAAGAAAGUGAUUUCUUGAAAUGGAAACUACUCCUAGUGAAGAUGCUGAGUAUUGUUGAAAUGACAAUAAAGGAUUUUGAAUAUUACAUAAACUUUGUUGAUAAAACAGCAGCAGGGUUUAAGAUGAUUGACUCAAAUUUUUAAAGAAGUUCUAUUGUGGUUAAAAUGCUAUCACACAGCAUUGCAAACUGGAUAAAUCUUUCUUGAAAGGAAGAGGCAAACCUCAUUGUUGGCUUAUUUUAAGAAAUUGCCACAGCUGUCCCAGCCUUCGGCAACCACCACCCGAAUCAGUCAACAGCUAUCAACACUGGGGCAAGACCCUCCACCAGCAAAAAGAUUACGAUUCACUGAAGACUCAUAUGAUCAUUUGUAUUUUCUAGCAAUAAAGAAUUUUUAAAUUAAGGUAUGUAUAUUUAAAGAAUAUGCUUUCGCACACUUAAUAGGCCUCAGUAUAGUAUAAACAUAACUUUUAUAUGUACUGGGAAACCAAAGAAUUCCCAACUUACUUUAUUGCAAUAUUUGCUUUAUUGUAGUCUGGAACGGAACUAGCAAUAUCUCCAUGGAAUACCUGUAAUGAGCAGAUUUAACCUAAGAUGAGAAAAUAUUUCCACUGAAGUUUGAAAUUUAAGUACGUGUUAGCCAGGUAAAGUAGGGGGAAAAGUAUUUCAAGCAGAGGUUAAAGUCCCUGUGUUAAGGCUGUGAGGCCCAAGGGAAGGAGCUUUCCCUUUAAAAAGGACUGAAAGAAAGCAAAUGUGGUUUAAGCAUGGUUAGGGAGGAAAGAGGCCUGAAGGGGAGGGAAUCCUGGAGUGGGAUACAGAGGUAGGCAGGCAGAGUACAGAACAUUAGGGAUUUAUGGACUCAAGAUUUAUAUUCUCUGACACCAAAUUAGGAAAAAAAGAGGUCUCUAUUUUUGGCCAAGUUGUGUGUGUGUGUGUGUGUGUGUGUGUGUGUGUGUGUGUUUUAAACAGCUUUAUUGAGGUAUAAUUGUUUAUUACAAGGUGUUUAAGUAGGCUGGGCACGGUGGCUCACAUCUGUAAUCCCAGCACUUUGGGAGGCCAAGGCAGGUGGACCACCUGAGGUCAGUAGUUCCAGACCAGCCUGGCCAACAUGGUGAAACCCCAUCUCUACUAAAAAUACAAAAAUUAGCUGAGCAUGGUGCCAGGCACCUGUAAUCCCAGCGACUCAGGAGGCUGAGGCAGGAGAAUUGCUUGAACCUGGGAGGGGGAGGUUGCAAUGAGCCAAGAUCGUGCCACUGCACUCCAGCCUGAACAACAGAGCAAGACUCCAUCUCAAAAACAAAAACAAAAACAGAAAACAACAAGGUGUUUAAGCAAAUGUGGCAGCACCACAGGAUGGGGGGGGCAACAUAAACCCCUAAUUUACCUCCAUUUAAAAAAGGCUGAUAUGCAAAUUGAUAUCAAUCUUCCAUGAAGUGUAAAUAAAGGCAUCUUUAAAGAUCACAUUUUCAUUGACCUGUAACAUCAGUUUGUAUCACAUAAUGCUAACUUAGUUCCUGUCCCACCCCCACCUUUUACCUUCUAAGAACCUCCUAUAUCGAAAUCCUAUCUACUACAGAGUUUUGUGAUGCUAUUUGUCCAUUAGAAAGAUUCUUGGAACUGCUAAGUGGAGAAAGGAUUAUAGGAUGCAAGGUUGAUGUGGAUAGCUCAGUAGAAGGUUUUUGAAAAAGCAACAGUAGAGAUCAUGGCAGCUUGGACGCAGGACCUGGGCAGUGAAGAUGAUGAGCACAGCUCCAGGAAAUAUUUAGGAGAUUGACUGUAUACUUGAUGGUGGUUGAACCUGGGGCUAAGGGAGGGGUAGGAGUCAUAGGCAAUCAGGGUUUCUGGUUGGGACAAGUGGAUAGGUGGCAGUGCUACUGAUAAGAAAGGGGAUGUUAAGAGGAAGAGCAAAUUUACUGAUAGCAUGAUUUAAAUUUUGUUAGUCCACCUGAUCGAAAUGGUAAAUUAGUAGAGGUCUGCAAUCAGGAGAUAGAAACAAAUCUGGAGGUCACUGGCUGAUAGCUGCUAACUGAAGCUACAGGAGAGGAUGAAAUAGUCCAAGAAUAUUGUGACAUGAGAAAAGAAUGUUUAGGACUGAACUUUGAAGAACACUAGUAUGUACAGAUUAGGUAAAGGAAGAGAAGCCCACAAAAACAUUGAGGAGGAACAGCAUGAAGAUGGAAAGCAAGUUAACUGUGUCCUAAAUGCCUAGAGGUUUUCUUUUUCUUUUUUUUUUUUUUGAGACAGAGUCUCACUCUGUCACGCAGGCUGGAGUGCAGUGGUGCAAUCUGGGUUCACUACAAGCUCCGCCUCCCAGGUUCACGCCAUUCUCCUGCCUCAGCUUCCUGAGUAGCUGGGACUACAGGCGCCCACCACCACGCCAGGCUAAUUUUUUGUAUUUUUAGUAGAGAUGGGGUUUCACCGUCUUAGCCAGGAUGGUCUCGAUCUCCUGACCUUGUGAUCCGCCCGCCUCGGCCUCCCAAAGUGCUGGGAUUACAGGCAUGAGCCACCGCGCCCAGCCUGAGGUUUUCAAUUUUAGUGUCACUUAACAAUGUCACAUAUUGAGAAAAUUUAUUUGUUGCUUCCCUCUUCCCUCUCCCCUCUCCCCUCUCCCCACGGUCUCCCUCUCUUUCCACGGUCUCCCUCUGAUGCCGAGCCGAAGCUGGACUGUACUGCUGCCAUCUCGGCUCACUGCAACCUCCCUGCCUGAUUCUCCUGCCUCAGCCUGCCGAGUGCCUGCGAUUGCAGGAGCGCGCCGCCACGCCUGACUGGUUUUCGUAUUUUUUUGGUGGAGAAGGGGUUUCGCUGUGUUGGCCGGGCUGGUCUCCAGCUCCUAACCGCGAGUGAUCUGCCAGCCUCGGCCUCCCGAGGUGCCGGGAUUGCAGACGGAGUCUGGUUCACUCAGUGCUCAAUGGUGCCCAGGCUGGAGUGCAGUGGCGUGAUCUCGGCUCGCUACAACCUCCACCUCCCAGCCGCCUGCCUUGGCCUCCCAAAGUGCCGAGAUUGCAGCCUCUGCCUCGCCACCACCCCGUUUGGGAAGUGAGGAGCGUCUCUGCCUGGCCACCCAUCGUCUGGGACGUGAGGAGCCCCUCUGCCUGGCUGCCCAGUCUGGAAAGUGAGGAGCGUCUCUGCCCGGCCGCCAUCCCAUCUAGGAAGUGAGGAGCGCCUCUUCCCGGCCUCCCAUCGUCUGAGAUGUGGGGAGCGCCUCUGCCCCGCUGCCCCGUCUGGGAUGUGAGGAGCGCCUCUACCCGGCCGCGACCCCGUCUGGGAGGUGAGGAGCGUCUCUGCCCGGCUGCCCCGUCUGAGAAGUGAGGAGUCCCUCCGCCCGGCAGCUGCCCCGUCUGAGAAGUGAGGAGCCCCUCCGUCCGGCAGCCGCCCCGUCUGGGAAGUGAGGAGCCCCUCCGCCCGGCAGCCACCCCGUCUGGGAGGGAGGUGGGGGUCAGCCCCCCACCCGGCCAGCCGCCCCGCCCGGGAGGUGAGGGGCGCCUCUGCCCGGCUGCCCCUACUGGGAAGUGAGGAGCCCCUCUGCCCAGCCAGCCGCCCCGUCCGGGAGGGAGGUGGGGGGGUCAGCCCCCCGCCCGGCCAGCUGCCCCGUCCGGGAGGUGAGGGGCGCCUCUGCCCGGCCGCCCCUACUGGGAAGUGAGGAGCCCCUCUACCCGGCCACCACCCCGUCUGGGAGGUGUAUCGAACAGCUCAUUGAGAACAGGCCAUGAUGACAAUGGCGGUUUUGUGGAAUACAAAGGGGGGAAAGGUGGGGAAAAGAUUGAGAAAUCGGAUGGUUGCCGCGUCUGUGUAGAAAGAGGUAGACAUGGGAGACUUUUCAUUUUGUUCUGUACUAAGAAAAAUUCUUAUCCUGUUGAUCUGUGACCUUACCCCCAACCCUGUGCUCUCUGAAACAUGUGCUGUGUCCACUCAGAGUUAAAUGGAUUAAGGGCGGUGCAAGAUGUGCUUUGUUAAACAGAUGCUUGAAGGCAGCAUGCUCGUUAAGAGUCAUCACCACUCCCUAACCUCAAGGACCCAGGGACACAAACAUUGCGGAAGGCCGCAGGGUCCUCUGCCUAGGAAAGCCAUAGACCUUUGUUCACUUGUUUAUCUGCUGACCUUCCCUCCACUAUUGUCCUAUGACCCUGCCAAAUCCCCCUCUGCGAGAAACACCCAAGAAUGAUCAAUAAAAAAUAAAAAAAUAAUAAAAAAAAAAGAAAAAAAAGAAAAAAACAAUGUCACAUAUUGCCACAGGAUAAGCUAAGGAUGAAAUCUCUCCAGGACUUAGUGUCAUAGAGGUCAUUGGUGACUCUAGUGAGGGCCACUGUAUAUAGUGGGGGCAGGAGCCAUAGUGGGUUUUAAGCUCAAAUAGGAGGUAAGGACAUGGAAAACAUGGGAAGGCACUUGAGAAGUCUGACUAUGAAGCAGAGAUAGGACUGUGGUCAGAUACAAAUAUGAGAAGCAGAUUUCUUCUGAUGAGAAUGGUGUGUUCAACUGUCCAUGCAAAGAGCCAAUGGAGAAAGAGAGGAAAAAUACAGACCAAGUAACAACAGACUCCAUGA